Molecule: ribosomal RNA, 403 nt
Filed under: uncultured bacterium
Lineage: Bacteria
Description: partial 16S ribosomal RNA
Rfam family: Bacterial small subunit ribosomal RNA
Source: RNAcentral
AUUGAACGCUGGCGGCAGGCCUAACACAUGCAAGUCGAGCGAGCGGCGGACGGGUGAGUAAUGUAUGGGGACUGCCCGAUAGAGGGGGAUAACUACUGGAAACGGUAGCUAAUACCGCAUACUAUCGGAUAGCCCAUAUGGGCUUAGCUAGUAGGUGAGGUAAUGGCUCACCUAGACGACGAUCCCUAGCUGGUCUGCGAGGAUGAACAUCCACACUGGGACUGAGAACGGGCCCAGACGCCUGGGGAGGACGCAGGGGGGAAUAUUGCACAAUGGGCGCAAGCCUGAUGCAGCCAUGCCGCGUGUAUGAAGAAGGCCCUAGGGUUGUAAAGUACUUUCAGUCGGGAGGCGUUACCGACAGAAGAAGCACCGGCUAACUCCGUGCCAGCAGCCGCGGUAAUUC